This 601-nucleotide long non-coding RNA is filed under the name Phoenix dactylifera (date palm). RNAcentral's name for it is "long non-coding RNA (PDAC_LNC008774)". The record is from RNAcentral. Lineage: Eukaryota; Viridiplantae; Streptophyta; Magnoliopsida; Arecales; Arecaceae.
AAAUCAUUCCAUUCCUAUUCCACGCCUCCUCCUCCUCUCCUUUUAUUAUUUGGCGCAUUAAAGGAUAUACCUUUCAUGAUACAAAUAAAAUCUCAAGGGAUGAAUCUUAUCCCUUGAUAAGGUCAACUCUAAUCAUGCGCCUCAUCAUAGGAUCAUGCCAUGUGUCAUGACGCCAUCAUUUAAAGCAAUUAACCCCUUAAUCAAAUUAAGAUAAAUUCACUUAUAUGGCGCCUCACCCUAGAUGCAUGCCAUGUGUCACCAUGCGCCAUUAAUUUGAUGAGAUUAGAUCCUAAUCUAAUUAGGAUAAAUCCUAUCAUAUGGCGCUAGACACAAGAUGAUGACAAGUGUCAUUUGAUCCCUUACUUUAAGGGAUUCAUUUUAAUCUGAUUAGAAUAUUUGUAGGCGCCAUUUUUAAAGCCCAUGCAUCCUCUUUCCUUUAUGCCAACAAUUGACUAAAAAUAGAUAAGAGCGCCAUGCAUCAAGGGAAAGUGAUGUGUCAAUUCCUUCACCAAGAAGGAAAGAUGGGUUCCUAAAUUGUUAGGAAUUGAUCUCUUUUUCAAAUUUCAAACUUUUGAACUUAGAAUCCUUAUCAGAUAAGGAC